Molecule: ribosomal RNA, 253 nt
Filed under: uncultured bacterium
Lineage: Bacteria
Description: partial 16S ribosomal RNA
Rfam family: Bacterial small subunit ribosomal RNA
Source: RNAcentral
UACGGAGGGAGCUAGCGUUAUUCGGAAUUACUGGGCGUAAAGCGCACGUAGGCGGCUUUGUAAGUUAGAGGUGAAAGCCCAGAGCUCAACUCUGGAAUAGCCUUUAAGACUGCAUCGCUUGAAUCCAGGAGAGGUGAGUGGAAUUCCGAGUGUAGAGGUGAAAUUCGUAGAUAUUCGGAAGAACACCAGUGGCGAAGGCGGCUCACUGGACUGGUAUUGACGCUGAGGUGCGAAAGCGUGGGGAGCAAACAGG